RNAcentral lists this ribosomal RNA (270 nucleotides) under uncultured prokaryote. RNAcentral describes it as "partial 16S ribosomal RNA". It matches the Rfam family "Bacterial small subunit ribosomal RNA", at positions 524 to 794 of the family's 1533-position model. The record is from RNAcentral.
UACGUAGGGGCGAGCGUUGUCCGGAAUGAUUGGGCGUAAAGGGCGCGUAGGCGGUUGAUUAAGUCUGAUGUGAAAGCCCACGGCUUAACCGUGGAGGGUCAUUGGAAACUGGUCGACUUGAGUGCAGAAGAGGGAAGUGGAAUUCCAUGUGUAGCGGUGAAAUGCGUAGAGAUAUGGAGGAACACCAGUGGCGAAGGCGGCUUCCUGGUCUGUAACUGACACUGAGGCGCGAAAGCGUGGGGAGCAAACAGGAUUAGAUACCCUGGUAGU